GACGAACGCUGGCGGCGUGCUUAACACAUGCAAGUCGAACGGAGUUCUUCAAUUGGAUCCUUCGGGUGAAGCUUGUUGAACUUAGUGGCGGACGGGUGAGUAACACGUGGGUAAUCUACCAUAAAGACCGGGACAACAGUUGGAAACGACUGCUAAUACCGGAUGUUGUGCACUAGCGGCAUCGCUUAUGCAUUAAAGGAGGCCUCUUAACAAUGCUCCCGCUUUAUGAUGAGCCCGCGUCUGAUUAGAUAGUUGGUGGGGUAACGGCCUACCAAGUCGACGAUCAGUAGCCGGCCUGAGAGGGUGAUCGGCCACAUUGGGACUGAGACACAGCCCAAACUCCUACGGGAGGCAGCAGUGGGGAAUAUUCCGCAAUGGGCGCAAGCCUGACGGAGCAACGCCGCGUGAAUGAAGAAGGUCUUCGGAUUGUAAAGUUCUGUCCUUAGGGACGAAGAAGCCAUGCGAAUAGUUUGGUGUAUGACGGUACCUAAG
This 492-nucleotide ribosomal RNA is filed under the name uncultured bacterium. Its description in RNAcentral is "bacterial SSU rRNA". It matches the Rfam family "Bacterial small subunit ribosomal RNA", at positions 28 to 483 of the family's 1533-position model. The record is from RNAcentral.